AACGAACGCUGGCGGCAGGCCUAACACAUGCAAGUCGAGCGCCCGCAAGGGAGCGGCGGACGGGUGAGUAACGCGUGGGAACGUACCCUUUGCUACGGAAUAGCCUCGGGAAACUGGGAGUAAUACCGUAUGUGCCCUUCGGGGGAAAGAUUUAUCGGCAAAGGAUCGGCCCGCGUUGGAUUAGGUAGUUGGUGGGGUAAUGGCCUACCAAGCCGACGAUCCAUAGCUGGUUUGAGAGGAUGAUCAGCCACACUGGGACUGAGACACGGCCCAGACUCCUACGGGGGGCAGCAGUGGGGAAUCUUAGACAAUGGGCGCAAGCCUGAUCUAGCCAUGCCGCGUGAGCGAUGAAGGCCUUAGGGUUGUAAAGCUCUUUCAGUGGGGAAGAUAAUGACUGUACCCACAGAAGAAGCCCCGGCUAACUCCGUG
This 429-nucleotide ribosomal RNA is filed under the name uncultured bacterium. Its description in RNAcentral is "bacterial SSU rRNA". It matches the Rfam family "Bacterial small subunit ribosomal RNA", at positions 29 to 507 of the family's 1533-position model. The record is from RNAcentral.